Helianthus annuus (common sunflower) is the source of this 921-nucleotide long non-coding RNA. RefSeq lists it as uncharacterized. The record is from RefSeq and is a predicted model, not a curated record. The transcript has 3 exons. Lineage: Eukaryota; Viridiplantae; Streptophyta; Magnoliopsida; Asterales; Asteraceae.
AACUAUAUCUAAUUGAUAUUAACAUAAAAAAAAAAUUGUCGCUAAGUUCGCUAUUGAUCGCUAAGACCCAUAUAGUGAUACUUGGUCGCAUGGCUACAUAGCGCACUAUAGCGGUCGCUAUAGCCGCUAUUAACAACUAUGGCGGAGAAGGGGUGACAAUUUAAAUCGUUGGAGAAGGUGAUGAAACAUGAGUAGAUUUUCUGCAAUUUAAUUUUAGUUUACCUAUUCUCGGUUAGGCAAACGUGCCCAUCAUUUCCAACAGUGUUUCGGUUUUAAAGUUAUUUUAUUAUUACUAUAAUUUAAAUUAUAAUAAGGCAUGACAUAUCAAGGGAGGUACAAGGUAUCCCAAGUCCUACAAGACGCUGCGGAUGCUGGUCUUUUUGGUAUGUCGCACAAGUGCUUUUGUUGAAGGUUUCUGAAGAUAAAGCGUUACGAAUUUCACCAGGAGUAUAAGAUGAACGUGUAUUUCAGGGAUUGGAUUUUGUGGAGGCAGAAGCUAGAAAAUAUGGUCUUCCGUUGAUAUUAAGUUUUGUUAACAGUUAUAAAGACUUUGGAGGGAGAUCACAAUACAUUAAGCAGGCUAGAAGUUUGGGCGUUCUGAUUUAAUAGUGAUGAUGAUUUCUACACUAACCCUAGGAUCAAAGGGUAUUCCAGGAACCAUGUUGAGAGAGUUUAUAAAAGUAGCUAUAAAUAUAUGAAUUUGUGCUUAUGGGAGGCCUCACAAAAUGCAUUUUGUAAUCGAAAGAAUUUGGAAGACCCACAUGACAUUAAACCUUGCAAUAUAUAUAUUUUUUUGGAAAUUUUUAAAAUGGAUGAUUUAGCUUGAUGUUCUAACCCGGGGAUGAAGCAAAAUGAAAAAAAAAAUCUUUUAAAUAAACCUAACAUUGCAUCUCGCAUACUGAUACUAGAUACAUUUAUAAU